RNAcentral lists this ribosomal RNA (269 nucleotides) under uncultured prokaryote. Its description in RNAcentral is "partial 16S ribosomal RNA". It matches the Rfam family "Bacterial small subunit ribosomal RNA", at positions 524 to 792 of the family's 1533-position model. The record is from RNAcentral.
CACGUAGGAGGCAAACGUUAUCCGGAUUUACUGGGCGUAAAGCGCGUGUAGGUGGUUCUGUAAGUAGGGCGUGAAAGCUCCCGGCUCAACUGGGAGAGGCCGUUCUAAACUGCAGAGCUAGAGGAUGGUAGAGGGAGGUGGAAUUCCAGGUGUAGCGGUGGAAUGCGCAGAUAUCUGGAGGAACACCAGUGGCGAAUGCGGCCUCCUGGACCAUUCCUGACACUCAGACGCGAAAGCUAGGGUAGCAAACGGGAUUAGAUACCCGCGUA